GGGGAUAACGUUCCGAAAGGGACGCUAAUACCGCAUGACAUCCUGUCCUUGAACGGACGGUGAUCAAAAAAAGCUAGGACGCAAGACCUAGCACUCGAAGAGGGGCCCGCGUCCGAUUAGCUAGUUGGUGAGGUAACGGCUCACCAAGGCAACGAUCGGUAGCCGGCCUGAGAGGGCGGACGGCCACACUGGGACUGAGACACGGCCCAGACUCCUACGGGAGGCAGCAGUGGGGAAUUGUUCGCAAUGGGCGC
RNAcentral lists this ribosomal RNA (254 nucleotides) under uncultured Acidobacteriota bacterium. RNAcentral describes it as "uncultured Acidobacteria bacterium partial 16S ribosomal RNA". It matches the Rfam family "Bacterial small subunit ribosomal RNA", at positions 139 to 378 of the family's 1533-position model. The record is from RNAcentral. Lineage: Bacteria; Pseudomonadati; Acidobacteriota.